GUUGGGAAGGGGUGGAAGGGUUGAAAAAAAAAAAAAAGGAUGGCGCUAGCGCCUCAGACGUAACUAUCUACGGAGAAAGAAGAGCACUAGCCAAGUAAACGCAGAAAUGUGAAAACUAUAAAAAGUAAAUUUCUGAAAGACAAGUAAACGCAGAACAAAUGAGUGUUGUUGGUAGAAAACUGGAAAGGUAGAAUUCUAGAAGACUUGUAUGCAGGGGAAGGCAUGACUAUUAAUCGUGUUAUGGAUCAUCAGUUCCCCAAUUUGGUGAAUUCUGUGAAUGACUCUGAGUUUGGUAAUGGGAUUAAUUUAGCAAGUUCAGAGCAAUCUAAUUUGGAUAUCGAAUUUGAGAAGUUCUGGAAUUCUGUGAACGGCUUUGAAUUCAAUAGUAGCGUUGUUUUUCCAAGUCUUGAGCAGCAACCUUUGAGUUCUUGUACUUUUGCUCCUCUGUAUAACGUGAGCUCAGAGGUUGAUUUUCCUGGUGAUUAUGAAUCCUAUCCUAUGCUCAAGUAUAUCAACCAGAUGCUCAUGGAGGACUUUUCGGAAGAGCAGCCAAACAUAUCCCCUGAUCCUCUAGCUCUAAAAGCUGCCGAGAAAUCAUUAUACCAUGUUCUUGGCAAGAGCUACCCUCCUUCGCCUCAUGAACCAGUGGCAGCCUUAGAUCAGAUUGCAGAAAGCUCACAGGAAUCCACUGAUAGUUGUAGUCAGCAUCAUACAGAUGGCUGUGACACUGAUACCAGUACUAUUGACAGCCGACCAAUUCUUGAUCCUGUUGAGUCAUCUGGGAAAGGACAUCAACCUUGGGAUAAGUAUUUCAAGUCAUCCUUUCAGACCAGCUCACUCGACUCUGUUCAUUCUCUGAGCAGUUCGAGCAAUAGUGGCGAUGGGCUAGUAGGUUUUUUAACAAAUGAGAAUAUGAUUUCCAGCUCUGUGAGUGAUAGUGAUACCAUUUUGCAGUUCAAGAAGGGGCUAGAGGAAGGUAACAAAUUCCUUCCAGCUGGGAAACUAAUGAAUAUUGAUUUAGAUAAGUACACGUUACCCUCAAAGUUGGAGAAUGCGGGUCUCGUGACCACGGGAAAGAAGGAUGAGGAGUAUUUGCGCACUGGAAUGAGAGGAAGGAAGCACCAACACCAGGAUGAUGGUGAUGCACAUCUAGGAAGAAAGUACAAACAGUCUGCUGUUUCUAUGGAAGAGGUUGAGUUGUCAGAGGCAUUUGAUAGAAUAUUGCUUUUUGGUGAUUCCAGAGGGCAAGAUUUAUGUUGUAAUGUUGAUGUUGAGCAGCCAACUCAAUUAUCUGAGGCCUUGGAUCAUGAAUCUGAUGUUAGUAAAAGUACAGAAGAAAGGCUGGGUACUGAUAAUGAAGCUCUUGACCUAAGUGCAUUAUUGCUUAACUGUGCACAUUCUGUUGUAGCUGAUGAUCGUAGGACUGCAAAUGAUCAACUAAAGCUAAUUAAACAACAUGCUUGUUCCACUGGUGACCCACAGCAGCGGUUGGCCAUUUUAUUUGCCAAUGCUCUUGAGGCACGCUUGGCAGGCAAUGGACCUGAGCUUUAUGCCACGGUAAAGUCCAAGAGGAGGUCAGCCGCUGAGGAGUUAAAAGCCUUCAGGGUUUAUCUUUGUGCUCCUUUCAGGCAGAUUGCUUCUUGCUUUGCAAACAAAAUGAUCCUUAAAGCAGCAUCAAGGGCUAAAACACUUCACAUUGUUGAUUUUGGCAUUGGCUACGGCUUUCAGUGGCCCAGCCUCAUACAACAGCUUUCUAAUAGAGAUGGUGGUCCUCCCAAGCUACGCAUUACUGGAAUAGAAUAUCCCAAACCUGGAUUUCGGCCAGCAGAAAGAAUAGAAGAGACGGGCCGUCGCUUGGCAAAAUACUGUGAAAGGUUUAAUGUACCUUUUGUGUACCAAGCAAUUCCAAUAAAGAAUUGGGAGAAAAUUAGACUUGAAGAGCUAAAGCUUACAAGAGAUGAGGUAAUUGUGGUGAACUGCCAGCUUCGUUUCAAAAACAUGCUUGAUCAGGUAGUGGAUGGUGAUUGUCCAAGGGAUGCAGUUUUAAGAUUAAUCAGAGAGAUUAAUCCUGCUAUUUUUGUGAGUGACGUUCUUAGUGGACAACUUUGUGCUCCCUUUUUCCUCACUCGGUGCAGAGAAGCACUCUUUUUUUUCUCUGCAGUGUUUGAUUUUCUUCACCAUAAUCUGCCACCCGAUGAUAAGCAGAGGUUGAAAUUUGAACAAGAAUUUAUGGGAACGGAAGUGAUGAAUACCAUUGCAUGUGAGGGCUCGGAGAGGGUUGAGAGGGCUGAGACAUACAAGCAGUGGCAAAUCCGUUAUAAGAGGGCUGGUUUCAAAAUGCUGCCUCUGAAUCAGGAUCUUAAGAAAGAAUUAAGAAGCAAAGUUAAAGAAGGGUACCACAAAGAUUUUUUAUUUGAUGAAGAAGGUGGUUGGAUACUCCAGGGGUGGAAAGGCAAGAUUAUCACAGCUUGCUCUUGUUGGGUCCCUGCUUAGACCCUUUUUUUUAAGUUUUUUUUUUUUUUUUUUUACAUUAGAAUCCUGGUGCUGCCAUGGAUGGUGUGCGGGAUAUGCAAAUUGAUGUGCUGUAGUUGAUGCUGCCUGUUAUAGGCUUGGUUUGGACGGGCUAGAGUAGUGAAAUUGCAGUACUGAUGUCCUUUUCCGGUGUUGCUGAAAAUUGGAUUUGUCAAGAUGUGAUGUUAAUCAGUCAUGGGCUAUCUGAUCGUAAAAUUAUCUUAUAGAUACCACUAUAUAUUCUAGUCUAAACUCAUGCAUCAGUUAUCUUAGGCUUCUAGGAUGACAAUGAAUGACCAUUGAGAUUUCCAAAAGAACUCAGGAAUCUUCAGAACUUGUAAUAUGGAGUCGAUGCCAUUGACAGGUUUCUUGUGUACUUCUGGUUCAGGAUGGAAAAGAUGCUAGUGUUUCCAAUGGCAAUUGAAAAUCUGAAAUCCAUUUAUCCAAGACCUUGUGCAGAGACUGUAGUGCUGGUCAGAGAGUAGGAUCUGCAUCUUGGAUGCAUCCUAUUUUUACCAAUGUAUGGAGCUCAAAUGUUCUAAUAAAUACUUUCUGAGAUGAGAAGUGCUCCCUGAAUGCUGAUCUUACCAGGAUAUGGGGUCACUGAAACAGGGAGGUUGUAGCCAUCCACUAUACUUACGUCGUAGAAACUCGGCUGCCUCUUGUCAACCUGCAACGUAAACUCUACUAGCGUCACAGGAGGAACGCCGAUCACCCCGGCGCAUUCGAGUCGCCCGUUGCAGUCGCCUGUUUCACAGGCUCGUCCGUCGUUGAAGUAGUCGAAAUUGCAGCCUGUUCUGGCCCAGAUGCGGCCACUCGAAUCUCCUGGUGCCUGGAAUUUCCGGAGUCUCCCGGAUGGAAGAUAGAAGCCACCGUUUGCUACGACUGGAAAGCCUUGGUUCGGGGCAGUGGCAGGCCAUAUGGGAAAUGGGCACUUGUUGCUCACGUAAAAAUGUGCAUGCUUCCACAACUCCACUACUGCCUAUGGGUUACGUUAAACUAUAAACGAUGCAAAAGAAGAAUGCUUUUUCAUUUAUUUGGUGAGUAUCUGAAUGAAUUUUUGUUGUUAUUGUAGGAGGCAACAAAUUAAAACAAAUCUUGCUACCAUCAAUUGAGUAAUAGGUAUUUCUUGCUUCUUUUUAGCUGUUAGGUUAUUC
This is a non-coding RNA of Coffea arabica (coffee), 3668 nucleotides long. NCBI's taxonomy places the organism in Eukaryota, Viridiplantae, Streptophyta, Magnoliopsida, Gentianales, Rubiaceae. The record is from RefSeq and is a predicted model, not a curated record.